RNAcentral lists this ribosomal RNA (731 nucleotides) under Achromobacter piechaudii. Its description in RNAcentral is "bacterial SSU rRNA". It matches the Rfam family "Bacterial small subunit ribosomal RNA", at positions 8 to 734 of the family's 1533-position model. Lineage: Bacteria; Pseudomonadati; Pseudomonadota; Betaproteobacteria; Burkholderiales; Alcaligenaceae. The record is from RNAcentral.
AGAGUUUGAUCAUGGCUCAGAUUGAACGCUAGCGGGAUGCCUUACACAUGCAAGUCGAACGGCAGCACGGACUUCGGUCUGGUGGCGAGUGGCGAACGGGUGAGUAAUGUAUCGGAACGUGCCUAGUAGCGGGGGAUAACUACGCGAAAGCGUAGCUAAUACCGCAUACGCCCUACGGGGGAAAGCAGGGGAUCGCAAGACCUUGCACUAUUAGAGCGGCCGAUAUCGGAUUAGCUAGUUGGUGGGGUAACGGCUCACCAAGGCGACGAUCCGUAGCUGGUUUGAGAGGACGACCAGCCACACUGGGACUGAGACACGGCCCAGACUCCUACGGGAGGCAGCAGUGGGGAAUUUUGGACAAUGGGGGAAACCCUGAUCCAGCCAUCCCGCGUGUGCGAUGAAGGCCUUCGGGUUGUAAAGCACUUUUGGCAGGAAAGAAACGUCAUGGGUUAAUACCCUGUGAAACUGACGGUACCUGCAGAAUAAGCACCGGCUAACUACGUGCCAGCAGCCGCGGUAAUACGUAGGGUGCAAGCGUUAAUCGGAAUUACUGGGCGUAAAGCGUGCGCAGGCGGUUCGGAAAGAAAGAUGUGAAAUCCCAGAGCUUAACUUUGGAACUGCAUUUUUAACUACCGAGCUAGAGUGUGUCAGAGGGAGGUGGAAUUCCGCGUGUAGCAGUGAAAUGCGUAGAUAUGCGGAGGAACACCGAUGGCGAAGGCAGCCUCCUGGGA